Molecule: long non-coding RNA, 3109 nt
Filed under: Sorghum bicolor (sorghum)
Lineage: Eukaryota; Viridiplantae; Streptophyta; Magnoliopsida; Poales; Poaceae
Description: long non-coding RNA (SBIC_LNC002380)
Source: RNAcentral
UUACAGCACCAAGCUUCCCGAGUUCAUUUAUCCAGUGUGAUCGCGUGUGUUUGCGUGUGUUCGUGAGUGUUCACCAAACGAUCGUCUUCCUCGUCUCCGGCGACUGGCGAAGGAUCCCGGCGAGUGGAGACUACAGACACGUCCACUUCCUUCGCCAUUUGCUCUGCCCUUGACGAGCUGUGUCGCUGGAAGCUAGUUUUGCAACAGCUGCUUGAGAAGUUGCUAGUCCUUGCUGUGUUGUGGUUUUGGUGCUGGCAUGAGUACUUUGCUGGAUACAUCAAGCUAUCCGGUUCAACCGCGCAAUCAAAACGUAUGGUUGGAAUCGUUUCAAAUUACCUCCCAUCGCCUCUGCUAUUUUUUUUCUUUAUUUAAUUCGUGGAAAGAUAAUAACGUUAUUGUAUAAGGUUUUUUUAAACCCUAACCCCUAUCAUCAGCGGCGACAGCUCCCUGUAACACGCUGGUGGGUUGAACCCUAAAAAGAUUUAAUAAAACUUAAGAAGAAAAUUUUUAUCUAACUAACUAUAGUACUUGAAUCAUACAACCUUACUAUGCUACUCAAAAUAUUAUUUUUACAAUUAUAAAUUUACCGUUUUACUCUUCAUUAAAAAAAAUACGAAAAAAAGAAUUACCACUUCUUUAUUUAGGGUCCUAAUCCCCAUAAUUUCGGAGGCGAUGGGAGGCGAUGUGACGUCUAUGGCCCACCGACCAUAGACACACCUAUUGCCUCCCAUCGCCUUGCUCUCAUCGCCUCUUAUCGUUUAUUAUGUCUUGGGUCCGCUGACCAUAGACACACCAAUCGUUUCUCAUCGUCUCUCCAACCAUUGUAAAAAUAUUCUUACUCUGAAUCCCUAUAAUUCUGCUUUUGGAAUUUCAAACUUUUUUAGAAUGCAUAUUGGUAUUGCACUGUUUUCCCCUCUCCUUGUGUUUUGAAAAAAAAAAUGUGAGGAGCACUUCCUUCCAUUAAGCCGGAGAGAGUACACAAAAAUCAAAGGCCAACCCACUCUUAAUGAAAUAUAUGUGCUUAUUAGACAGCUUCGAGAGAAAAUGCAAAGACUAAUGCAGUUUAAAUCGUUUUCACUAAUUCAAGUAUUCAACACAUACGUUACACAUGAUUUUGUGAAAGAGUUUUAAAACAAAGCUAGAUUCUAAUUAUAUAUAUCAUGAAUCAUGUCGAGUACAACAUCCAGUUACCCAGUGCUAAAUAGGAGCAUUCCAUGGUCGAAUAUGUUGAAUACAACCCUUAUGUAUUUCAGUUUGCGAAAAGGUAUGUAACCUACUGGCUGCAAGAGACUUGAUAGCACCCCAGAUCAAGAGUUCGACUUCUCGUGGAAAGAGUAUUCAGAGAUUUAGUGGCUUUUAUGCUUCAAUGUUAAACGAUGUUCUCAUCGACAAUGAGACAUAGGGAUAGGGUUUACAUGCGUGUAUUUUCUUUAGCUAUUUAAGUAUUGUUUUCUUUUUUAUUUUGGUAAUGCUAGAUAAGGUUAGAGUACCCUGAACUAAGAGAAGAAAGGAAAUUGCUAGUUCUUUGUAAACAAAGCCUCAUGAUCGAUGAUUGCUGGUAGUUGGUUAGGAGAGCCGGCCAACACCGACCUCAAUCCUCACAGUGACAUCAUAUAUUCAUCCAUCUCCAUCAGGCUCUCCUCGGGCCCACCACCAGCUCCUUUUCGGCUCAUCCCGUGGUCAGGGAGGCCAGGGCAGGCUCACUAAUUGAUGACACCCUCCCCAAUCGUGAUGGAAUAAAAUUAGGUCACCACAUCGCAGAGUUGAUAAUUAAGCAAAAUCAAAGAAAAGCUAUAAGCCAUGCUUACAACCCGGUGGAUAACAGGCACCACAAAGUUUUCGGUUCGUUCGCGUGCCUCACCUUUACUGGUCAAGCUCUGUUGGCCAGCUUAUCUGAAACUGUAUUUUUUUUUGGAGUAUUUUCUCUGGUCGUACAUAAAUGACGUUUCGGAGUUUUCUCAGUUCAACCACGUUAAACUUUAUUUGCUACUUUUAAUAUCUUGAGUAUGGAUAUAAAAACCAAUAAUUCUAGUUUUUUUUGUCUUGAAUCUAGUUUUUGUAAAAGUAUACUCUAGAAAAAAAACAUUUUGUAAUAACAAGGAGUAUUUAGUAUAUAUAGAAUUAGAAGAACACCUUAUACCCAUUGUGAAGUGUGGCUUCAUGUAUUACAUUUGGUACAUAUCUUAGUCUAGCUAUAUUUAUCUUUUAUAAUUAGUUACCAGCCCAUUAGAAGCAUGUAGUUGUUGUGAAGUGGACUUAUAUAACACACGUGGAGAGUUGCAGUUGGUGAGUUUAGCACCAUCUUAAAAGUUUACGAGGACAAAGCCAGCUUACAAUCCUUAUUGUUCCAAACGUAACACCUUUGGCAUCUGGGUUAAUCCUUUUAUAUAUGUAUGCAGAAACUAUUACACAUGUGUGGCUAGACCAUGUAAGUAUUUUUUAGACACGAGUAUUACAACCCUGUUCCAUUCAUAAGCAAUGCACUUCUAGAAAUACUCAAUAUAUAUGUUUUGUUUUACAUGGGGUGCUACAGCUUGGUAUGUUCUGUCCAUAAAGUAAUGCACCCCUAGAAGAACUCACUAUUUUUUUUGAAAAAUCUGGAGGAGCCGGGGCUCCUACAGUUUAAUUAUUAUAUUAGGAAAAAAGUUGCAAAGUUACAAAGCAAUUACAAAAGUCGGGUAAAAAAAGAGGCCCACAAAAAAGAGGUGGGCAUUAAGGGACAAAGAAAGAAAUGAAAAAAAUCUGCAUUAAGCAGCUAACAAGGCUAGAGUUUGCUUCCAUGAGUUAUAACUGUCAUGCUGGUCCUGUCUCAAUCUAUAAUGGAGCAGGUUGAUCUCCUUGAAGAACAUUCUGAUGUAGUCUUCUCGAUUUGAGCCAAUUCUUCUGAAAAUCAGCUCGUUUCUUGCCAUCCAAAUAGUCCAACACAUCAAUAUUGUGGCCUCCAUGAAGAAGGGGGAUCUGAGUUGAGCUUUGAUUGCUAUGGAGAAACUUGGGAAGCUGGCUGGCGCAGGGAUGUCUAUGCCAAUUAUGUUCCAGCACAUUCUUGCAAAGUCACAAUCUAUGAAUAGGUGUUGUGCUGUUUCUUCAGUUAUGAAGCUGGAGAGGGGGC